CCUACGGGAGGCAGCAGUGGGGAAUAUUGCACAAUGGGGGAAACCCUGAUGCAGCGACGCCGCGUGAGUGAAUAAGUAUCUCGGUACGUAAAGCUCCAUCAGCCGGGGAGCAAAUGACGGUACCUGACUCAGAAGCCCCGGCUAACUACGUGCCAGCAGCCGCGGUAAUCCGGAGGGGGCAAGCGUUAUCCGGAUUUACUGGGUGUAAAGGGAGCGUAGACGGGAGCACAAGGCUGGAGUGAAAUCCCGGGGCUUAACCCCGGAACUGCUUUGGAAACUGUGCGGCUGGAGUGCAGGAGGGGUAAGCGGAAUUCGUGGUGUAGCGGUGAAAUGCGUAGAUAUUAGGAGGAACACCGAUGGCGAAGGCGGCUUACUGGACUGUAACUGACGUUGAGGCUCGAAAGCGUGGGGAGCAAACAGGAUUAGAUACCCCAGUAGUC
This 440-nucleotide ribosomal RNA is filed under the name uncultured bacterium. RNAcentral describes it as "partial 16S ribosomal RNA". It matches the Rfam family "Bacterial small subunit ribosomal RNA", at positions 338 to 795 of the family's 1533-position model. The record is from RNAcentral.